This 117-nucleotide microRNA precursor is filed under the name Corchorus capsularis. The record is from RNAcentral. Lineage: Eukaryota; Viridiplantae; Streptophyta; Magnoliopsida; Malvales; Malvaceae.
AGAGUGGCUCUGAGCCAAGGAUGACUUGCCGUAUUAUUCAUCCAUCACUUAAAUUGCUGCUCUUAACUGUGCGUUGAUGAUGUUCCGGUGAGUUGUCCUUGCUCAGUUUCGCUCUCU